Molecule: ribosomal RNA, 635 nt
Filed under: Bacillus subtilis
Lineage: Bacteria; Bacillati; Bacillota; Bacilli; Caryophanales; Bacillaceae
Description: bacterial SSU rRNA
Rfam family: Bacterial small subunit ribosomal RNA
Source: RNAcentral
GGAUAACUCCGGGAAACCGGGGCUAAUACCGGAUGGUUGUUUGAACCGCAUGGUUCAAACAUAAAAGGUGGCUUCGGCUACCACUUACAGAUGGACCCGCGGCGCAUUAGCUAGUUGGUGAGGUAANGGCUCACCAAGGCGACGAUGCGUAGCCGACCUGAGAGGGUGAUCGGCCACACUGGGACUGAGACACGGCCCAGACUCCUACGGGAGGCAGCAGUAGGGAAUCUUCCGCAAUGGACGAAAGUCUGACGGAGCAACGCCGCGUGAGUGAUGAAGGUUUUCGGAUCGUAAAGCUCUGUUGUUAGGGAAGAACAAGUACCGUUCGAAUAGGGCGGUACCUUGACGGUACCUAACCAGAAAGCCACGGCUAACUACGUGCCAGCAGCCGCGGUAAUACGUAGGUGGCAAGCGUUGUCCGGAAUUAUUGGGCGUAAAGGGCUCGCAGGCGGUUUCUUAAGUCUGAUGUGAAAGCCCCCGGCUCAACCGGGGAGGGUCAUUGGAAACUGGGGAACUUGAGUGCAGAAGAGGAGAGUGGAAUUCCACGUGUAGCGGUGAAAUGCGUAGAGAUGUGGAGGAACACCAGUGGCGAAGGCGACUCUCUGGUCUGUAACUGACGCUGAGGAGCGAAAGCG